CAGUGGGUCAUUCUUGCUGAUUAAACUGGGCUUUCACAAUUAAGACAGUGUGUCUCCGUCUACUGUUUGUUUGCGGGGAAAAAAAGCUUACAAAAGGAAAGUCAUCAGACAAAUUUGCAAGAGUGCUGCAGUAAGGGGAAAUCAACAUUUAUACUGAAUGAGAGGAGAGUGCUGAUUGGUUCACCAGUGGAGUCUGAUUGAUAAAGCUUUUAAAACACAGACCUAAACAAGAAUAAAGCCAGCCAUAAAGUCCAUGUCUCCCAGUCCCAUAGAAAGUAUUUCUAAGGAGGAACAGCCAGGAUCUUCAGAGGAUGCAGUAGUCUGAUGUUCAUCCCACCUUCCACCACCAAAAGACUUCAAUGAGUAAUGUAUCUGGAAUAGGCUUCUGUGAACACAGCACUAACACAGAUCUACAACAAGAGUUGGAAGAAAUGACUAAAGUGGCACUCUGAAGACUGGUGGAGAAAAGCCCCUUGCCAAGUCUAGUACAGACGAUGAGCCUACGGGCUUGAUCAUGGUUGAGAUGACAAGAUAUAGAGUCAGACAGUGAACUAUCUGGCAGAGAUACCAGGCACUUUGCAUUGAAUAAAGUAAAUGGUAGCGGAGUCUGCACACGUUCUGCCUGAUGUAAUGGCUUUGGCACACAAGCACAUGGUUGCCUCUGUAGAUUAGGUGAUGGCAACUGGAGAGUGCAGUUCAACAAAACAGUCAUGAUCCACUAGGUAUGCAUUCAGACCUUCAUGCCAUCACUUGACCCAUCGAUGCUUUUAGUCAUUGGUUCAGCAGGAGGGAAUCAAAGGACCUUGACCUAAUUCUAGAUACCUAUUCCCUCAAGGGGUUAGCAAGGUGUCAUUGGCCAACUAGGAGGAAGAAUGACAGAUAGGCUUCCAGUGAUUAUCCUGUCAGGACACUCCAAAACUAUUGGACUUUAAUCAUCUUUAAUGUUCAUGGAUUCUUUAGUUGCCCUGGAGAAGAUGGUGGUGAGUGGCUUGCUAGGCCAAUUCAGAGGGAGGUUGAGAGUCAGCCAUAUUGCUCUGGAGUCACACAUCGGCCACAUGAGGAUGCCAGAUUUCCUUCCCAGAAGGAUAUUAGUGAUUGAGAUGGGUUUUUUCCUGACAAUGGUUUCAUCAGUAGA
Molecule: non-coding RNA, 1135 nt
Organism: Chiloscyllium plagiosum (whitespotted bambooshark)
Lineage: Eukaryota; Metazoa; Chordata; Chondrichthyes; Orectolobiformes; Hemiscylliidae
Source: RefSeq, a predicted model, not a curated record